UACGUAGGGUGCGAGCGUUAAUCGGAAUAACUGGGCGUAAAGGGUGCGUAGGCGGAUAUAUAAGUUAGAUGUGAAAAGCCUGGGCUUAACCUUGGUCGUGCAUUUAAGACUGUAUGUCUAGAGUUUGUGAGAGGGGUGUAGAAUUCCAAGUGUAGCAGUGAAAUGCGUAGAGAUUUGGAGGAAUACCGAUGGCGAAGGCAGCGCCCUGGCAUAGAACUGACGCUGAGGCACGAAAGCGUGGGUAGCAAACAGG
Molecule: ribosomal RNA, 253 nt
Filed under: uncultured bacterium
Lineage: Bacteria
Description: partial 16S ribosomal RNA
Rfam family: Bacterial small subunit ribosomal RNA
Source: RNAcentral